CCUACGGGUGACAGCAGUGGGGAAUAUUGCACAAUGGGGGAAACCCUGAUGCAGCGACGCCGCGUGAGUGAAGAAGUAUUUCGGUAUGUAAAGCUCUAUCAGCAGGGAAGAAAAUGACGGUACCUGACGAAGAAGCCCCGGCUAACUAAGUGCCAGCAGCCGCGGUAAUACGUAGGGGGCAAGGGUGAUCCGGAUUUACUGGGUGUAAAGGGAGCGUAGACGGCCACACAAGUCAGAAGUGAAAGCCCAGGGCCCAACCCUGGGACUGCUUUUGAAACUGCCGGGCUGGAGUGCAGGAGAGGUAAGCGGAAUUCCUAGUGUAGCGGUGAAAUGCGUAGAUAUUAGGAGGAACACCAGUGGCGAAGGCGGCUUACUGGACUGUAACUGACGUUGAGGCUCGAAAGCGUGGGGAGCAAACAGGAUUAGAUACCCUGGUAGUC
Molecule: ribosomal RNA, 440 nt
Filed under: uncultured bacterium
Lineage: Bacteria
Description: partial 16S ribosomal RNA
Rfam family: Bacterial small subunit ribosomal RNA
Source: RNAcentral